This 401-nucleotide ribosomal RNA is filed under the name uncultured bacterium. Its description in RNAcentral is "bacterial SSU rRNA". It matches the Rfam family "Bacterial small subunit ribosomal RNA", at positions 357 to 775 of the family's 1533-position model. The record is from RNAcentral.
GGGAAUAUUGGACAAUGGGCGCAAGCCUGAUCCAGCAAUGCCGCGUGAGUGAUGAAGGCCUUCGGGUCGUAAAGCUCUUUUACCAGGGAUGAUAAUGACAGUACCUGGAGAAUAAGCUCCGGCUAACUCCGUGCCAGCAGCCGCGGUAAUACGGAGGGAGCUAGCGUUGUUCGGAAUUACUGGGCGUAAAGCGCACGUAGGCGGUUACUCAAGUCAGAGGUGAAAGCCCGGGGCUCAACCCCGGAACUGCCUUUGAAACUAGGUGACUGGAAUCUUGGAGAGGCGAGUGGAAUUCCGAGUGUAGAGGUGAAAUUCGUAGAUAUUCGGAAGAACACCAGUGGCGAAGGCGACUCGCUGGACAAGUAUUGACGCUGAGGUGCGAAAGCGUGGGGAGCAAACAG